GAUGAACGCUAGCUACAGGCUUAACACAUGCAGGUCGAGGGGCAGCACAAGGCAGCAAUGCUGAGGUGGCGACCGGCGCACGGGUGCGUAACGCGUAUCCAACCUUCCCGUUACUCUUGGAUAGCCUUCCGAAAGGGAGAUUAAUACAUGAUGGUGUUGAAAUUCCGCAUGUUAUUUCAACUAAAGAUUUAUCGGUAACGGAUGGGGAUGCGUGACAUCAGAUAGAUGGCGGGGUAACGGCCCACCAUGUCCACGAUGUCUAGGGGUUCUGAGAGGAAGGUCCCCCACAUAGGAACUGAGACACGGUCCUA
This 311-nucleotide ribosomal RNA is filed under the name uncultured bacterium. RNAcentral describes it as "bacterial SSU rRNA". It matches the Rfam family "Bacterial small subunit ribosomal RNA", at positions 28 to 334 of the family's 1533-position model. The record is from RNAcentral.